AGUAUCGAUACUUCUUUUUUCCGAAGUUCCCAUAAAUAAGUAGCAUUACGUGUUUACGGACUUCUACUCAGUUUUAUAUUUGUGUGUCUUAAAACCUUAGAAUUCAUCAGAGAAAGCAAGAAAAUUAAAGUUAAAGCAUUCAUAUCCAUUUAUUAACAUUAAAUGGUAGUUGGUUGCUUGAACACAGCUAGAAGACAUUCACUUUUUUCAUAAGCAGAUCAUCAUGCCUAAUGUAAAUCAAAUUGUUGAUGACAUUUUAAAACAAGGGGGCAACUAUUCUAAAUAUGGUAAAAAUUACGUAGAUAAUGUAAUACUAUUUUAUUCAUGAAAGAAUAAAGCAAUAUUAUUUUAUAUUAUGCUUAUAUUUGAUCACUCGUUACCUCCUCCCUAUUCUCAUCAAUAGUUCUGUCGAUCUCUUACCUCUCUCUCUCUCUCUUUCUGUCUCUCCACCCCUCUCUCUCUCUCUUUCUGUCUCUUUCUGUCUCUCCACCCUCUCUCUUUCUGUCUCUCCACCCCUCUCUCUCUCUCUCUCUCUCCACCCCUCUCUCUCUCUCUCUUUCUGUCUCUUUCUGUCUCUCCACCCACAAAGCGGCAACAUUCCGAAAGAAGUAUUACGAAAACAUUCCAUCCAGCCAAGUUGAUCCGCAGACAACCAUCAACUCAGAGAAGGACUUCUUCACUAAAUGGCUCGCAUUCGAGAAUGUAGAGAACACUACAGCCCGGUUCACUAAAGUCCGGUCGACUACAGCACAGUUCAGUGUGGUUCAGCGGUGUGGUCUGUACGGAGCAAUACAAAGGUAAAGUACGGAGUACUGUCUUGUACAGUCAAGACGAACGCGUCUUGAUCUUGGUCUGCGAUCGAGUCCGACACAACGAGCCCAGUGUGUAAAGUCAGUCCUGAACUGUUGAACCCAGUGCAAGCCCGGAACGAGACGAAGAGGCCAGUGCAAGAGUUGAUACGGCGGUACGGUCGAUACGGAGAGAAAUUUGUACAGCCUAUGUUACGUGUUGCCAAUUGUACAGUAUUGGCUGUAAUUUAUUGAACAUAAAAUUGUUACGUUACUUUGGAGCCCUGUGUCAUCCGAUUCUUUAAGUUGAUGGUGUGUGUUGCAGUUUGCAGAGAGCCUGAAUAGUGAGAUUAUCUGUAGAGAAUCUUGGACAUCAUGCGUUUUCUCUUAAAGCAAAAUAUGGAAAUCCGCGGGCAUCACGAACGAGUUGAAGAAGAAUUGGCAGUACAAAAUCAAAGAAAAAUCCUGGAGUAAAAUUAAUAUCUAAUUACGAUCCAUUCCCUCAGAGACCGAAUACGUACAUGUCCAACAAAAUAAAAACGAAUUUAUUGUAAUAUAAAAACUCAUGAAAAAAAAUAUUACAGAAAGUUUAAACAGGAAAGAUUUCUCGAUGAUUUUUCACAGUACACUUAACAUCUAAAAUCGGAUCAAAAUUUUAUGGUACAUUUCAUGCAGAGCCUCAACAGCGUAUUGGCCACAACAAAAAAAUUGCCAGGUGAAAAAAAAAUAAAGAUAUAUUUUUUAUCAAGAGCUACUGAUGGAAACAUUUUCCUUGGACGGUAUUGUUCAAGAAAUAAUAACCCCAUAAUAACGUCAUGAUAAAUAUGAAUUUUAGUCGCCUUUAUUGAAUCCUAAGAUGGACAUUAAUCUCGAUGGUUCUUCCAGAGACAUAGACAAAAACGAAUUUUGUCUGGGGGCUUCAGGUAAUUGUCGCACUUUCCCCAGAAGUUUCCGAACUUCCAAAGCAAGAAUCUAUUGAGUUUUAUAAUAAAAAAACAAAAAAUUCAGUCCCCGAAUAUUGCCAUUUUGAUCCACAUAUUUUUUUUUAUUAUUGUGGUAAGUGUAGCAAGCAAGCGAAGUUUUUCCAAACUUACUUUGAUGAAGAAAUACUUACAAUCAACGAUGUCGAGUUUACGACUCACUUCUUUGGCAAUUUCGUCUAUUGAACAAGACUUAGUGGGAAAACUGAUAUGAUAAAAUCAUCGAUAGUUUGCCGGCGAUUCAUCGUUUUGUAAAUCGAUUCUUGCGAAAAAGCAAUGCUUAAAUAAUGAAUACACUUAAUAUCGAAAUUAGAACCUUUUCGCUGUUUUAAAACUUUUUUUUUGGAGGGCAACAUGAGGAACUGCCACACAGAGCAUCAAAUACCCUAGCUACGCCACUGGAAAAGUAACAUGUGUAAAGUAACCCUAAAACAAACUUAAGACCAUCAAAAAAAAGAUGCCCAACUCUAUGAAAGUAUUACUAUUUCAUGGAUCUAGGUCAUAUAGUCAUGUUUACAUGACACAAGACCGAAAUAUCAAGCAAGCGCGGAACAGAAAAUCUCUCAAAAUCUAAAUCUAGAUUAGAUCUAAUUCUAAGAUAAUAGAUCUGAUCUUCGCCAAGAGUUCCUUAAUUUAAGACAUGAACAUAAAAAUCUAGUCCAUUCAUUUCAUUAAUUAAAUUAACCUACACAUUUUUGUUUCAAAAGCAUUUUUUUUACAUUAAUUCGUUCUCUAAUGCUGCGACUAAGUCGUCUUGUUGUACAUUUAAUAGCCAUUUAUGAUAUCGAGCGCUUCUUACAUUACUCUACAGAAAGUAAACGCAUGCGCAGGACAUAACAUUUUUACAUUCACGCAUUCGCUUUAUUUAUAACAUUAUUAUUUUAUUUUAUUGUUUUUAAUACACUAUAUCAGUGGCAAUAUUAGUGAUACGCAAAUUAAGACAAGCGAGCCGCGGGUAAUAUCUAGCUAGUUUUAAAUAAUUGAGAAAUCGUGCCUUAGUUCUGUCUUUAAUCUAAAGCUUUUAAACAAUCUAGUAUUCAAAAGUGAUUAAUUUUUGUUUUAUAUAUUGUUCUAACUCUGAUGGUGGUGCAGUUAGGGGUAUUAGUUUGUGUGUAGUUAGCCAACUUCAAUAGCCCCAGGCCAUCGGUUGUUAACAGUGAAACAUUUGUACAGUCGGUAUUUCGUGUUGCCAAUUGUACAGUUAAUUUAUUGGACAUUAAACUGUUGCGUUACUUUGGAGCCUUAAGUUUUCAAGUCGAGUCGGUAGUGUCGUGUGGUGCAGCAUGCAGAGCCUGGAUAGUGAAUGCCGUUACAGCACAAUGAUUAUUUAAGCCAAAGUUAUCUAAUCACGAUACAUGAAAUGGCAAUUAAUUCUUUUUGUAAAUGUGUUGUCAUUUUUAAAAUAAUUAUAUAUAUAUAUAUAUAUAUAUGUGUGUGUGUGUGUGUGUGUGUGUGUGUGUGUAAUAAUGAUAAUUAUCUACAUGCAAAGAAAUAUUUUAAAGUUUAAACUUUAAUUUAAUACAUAAAAUGGGAGUUAUGAUAUUUUAUUGUGUAGAGUCUAGAUAUAUGAAAGCUAUAUAGCUAAAAUUUUAUUAAAAUGUAUUACAUGAUCUAGAUCAAUAAGCCUAAAUUGAAUUAAGUGAUCAUGUAUGAUAGUAAAAUAUUCUAUGAACGAAAUGAUAAAAUCUCAUCAUCAACAACAAAAAAGAGACUCACUUUUCACAAAAAAAAAAACGAUUGAGCAAAUACAAAUGUUUUCGAUCUACGUGUUUUGUUUAUGAUAAAUAAGGGAACGACUUAACGUGUAUCCAACCGGUAUGUUGCUGCCUGACACGUAAUAAUAUUUAUCUGGUAUCGAUAUCAAAGAAUAUGUAUUUACGAUACUUGCUAUGAAUACUCGAUACUUGUGUGUUCGAAUUUUUCCCUUCAAUGAUUUUCCAGGCCCUUGCUAAACCAUUAUUGGCAUUUCUCCGAAUCUAAAUUUACUAAUCUUAGUGUUUCUAAACACAUAAUAGAUAAUAUUACGGUUAAUUCCAAAUUAAUUACUAGUUAAGUAAUUAUUUUUCGCAAGUAUUCUUUUUUCUUAUAAUAAUAAUAAUAAUCUUCGCUGCCUGUCAGAGGACGGUACUGCUGCAGACCUGCCACAUCACCAGAAAAUUACUCAGUGGAAACUGUUAAAGGGACUAUGGUGAAUUUUGUUUCUCUUUAGCGAAACUCGACCCUGGCAGCGCCAGAGAAUGACUACUCGUUCAUUUCUAACAUAAUAAUAAUAAUCUUUAUUGUCCGUAUGGAAAUUUGUCUUACAUUAGAAUAUUUAUAUAAAGCAUUUCAUUUUUAAAUGUUCAAGGGCCAUGAAAAUUUAGUAACAUAGCUAAGAAGGGGGGAAAGGGGUUAAUUUAAAACCCCUUUAGUAAGGGGUAGUUUAACAUUAAAUCUCCUCUCCAAUAAAAAAAUUAAAGCAAAACAACAGCUAAAAAAUAUCCCCUCCCACACCACUGGGUUACUCCCAUGCUUCCUAGAAACAAUGGUAAACAUAACUUGUUGAACUCACAAAAGCCACGAAUUUUCAGGUUUCUUUUUUUACACUUAAAUUUUGCGUGUGGUUAAUAAAAAAAAUUAAAGGAAAAUAAUAUUAGUUCUUUUUGGUUAAUAGAUAUAAACGUUGCAUUUUAUUUCAUUGAUGAUUAAAAUUAUGUGUAAUAUAUUCAGGUCUAUUUUAUUUGAGAAUCACCUCCACUGUGGAAUGGAAGUUUCUCGCCACUUCAUAGUCGUACAUUUUACAUUGAUAUCAGUUGCUCUAAUUCCCGGUAUUAAACAAAAAUGUAGACUGAUUAAACUAUCAUUUAUGCUUACAAGUUAUAUUUCUGCUAAUUUGUUUUUUAUUGAGGUUUAAACAAUUAAAACUAAAUUACAUUACAUUUUUCAGCUUGCAAAGCUACUUUUUGUUUCCUGAAAGUAAAAAAAUUUCCAGAAAAUUUUGUUAAAUAUAUAUAUUUUUUUUCGUUUUAUAAUGGACGAGCUGCUAAUUAUUUACAAAUAACUUCCUUUUAAAAGUGAGAGUACAUUUGUAGGCUUAUAAUAGUAAACAGUUUAAACACCAAGAGUUAAUAGCUCUAUUAAAUGUUAUUUUUAUUGUUAUUAUAUUAUUUAUUAUUUUCUUAUUAUUUUCUUAUAUACUGGUGGUCUAUCACAAGUGUCUGUCAGAACACUUGACAAAAUAGGACAUUUUUAUUGAUCAAUUUAAUAUUAUGUUAUAUUGAUUAAUGAAUGAUGAUUUGUUUGGAAUCAAUGUGAAGAAGUGUGUAUGUAAAAAAAUAAUAUUUCAUUACUUCUUUCAAGAAUUAUAUAAUAACUUAUUUUAUAAAAUACAGACUUCACUUUAAAAAAAAGAUGAUGAUGACCUCCUACGCGUCAUGCAUGUUAACCAAUGACUUAAAUUCUGCCAAGUCAUUGGUUUUCCUGGCUAGCUUAGGCAACCCAUACCAUGAUCUAAAAGCACUAGGGAAGAAGGAGCAUUUGUACUAAUUUGUCCUAGCAUAUGGAACGAGGAAUGUACCUUUAUCUUUGUGCCUUUCCUAGUAUUUUUUUAUAGAUUUUUUUCUUUGUUUUUGUAUUUGAAGAUUAUGGUUCAGUGUUUUAUUUAUAAUUGCUACUUUAAUUUUAAGUCUUCUAUCCUUAAAGCUUUCUAAAUUUAGUGAUUUUACUAAAGUGUUAUUACUAUACAAUUUUUUUAUUUGACAUUAGUGUAAUACUUUCAUAUAACAAAAACCAUGCUAACUUCUAAAGCUCUAUUACGCUGAAUGACGACAAUAACUCCACACUUAGUAAAGAAUAAGACACGGAAUGUGGUAAGUACAAACUCUAACGUGAAUCCACCAAUGUAAACAAACACUUUGGGUGACAAUAGAUAGAAACAAAUUCACGACACUAAGAUACUUUGAAAAGAUAUAUUGAGUAGGGGUGAUUUGGGUGACACAUCUCGCAUUGACGCAGGUAUAGUUAAACAAAUGAAGACAAGACCAGCACCGAGCACUGGUCGUUAGUGUCAUGCGUCUAGCGAUCAUAACCUUGGGACUGGUCAUUACCUGUGACAUCUAUCACGCCCCCGCUCUUCUGGGCACAUUUCAGUCCUUGUAUAUACUCUUUCCUCCACCCUUCCCUCUCUCACGCGUAAGACGAUAAUCUGUCUCUAGCACUCCUCUUGACAUCCCUAGGUGCGAAUUUAUUAUCCUUAAUCUUAAAUUCCGAGAGCGGCCCAAUGUCUACCCCUCUCUUUCAAUCUCUUCGCCCCUACGUCUUUAUAUGCUCGCCUAGUUUGGACCAUUCACUAAUCAUUUUCCAGCACGCUGACAGACUAGAAAAACUUUCGCCAUUUCAUUCUAUUAUAUUUUUAUAUUUUUAUAUUUUUAACUGAAAACCUGUGGCAUUCUAUAUAAACAAGUCUACAUGUAUAGUUUAUCCACGAUACAAAUUCUUAAGAUUGAUUACUAUCUACCAACAGUAUCUAUAGGUCAGUGUUCAAAGAUAGAAUCAUGCCACUUCCAGAAUUAUACGCUGGAAGACCCAGUGCGACAAAAAAGAACUCGAGUCGUCCUCUUUGUAUCAGUACAUUUACAACGAGACACUCAAUAGCACGCACUACCUUUGACAAGUAAAAUUACAUAACACUCAAGGAUAUCUACGUAAUAAACAACUGUCUUUCAAUGAAAAUCGUGGGCCUCUACUAGUCAUGAUCCCCGGUGUAGAGAACCUCUUCGCACCAUACCUGAUCGCCACUGUCUACCAAUGCUGAGUUCUUGUAAGUUAUAUUGUUAGAGGAUAUAAAAAAAAUAACUAAAUUAAGUUCAACUAGUCUCUUAUUUAACUAGUUCUCUCUGAAGUGAACCUUACCAUCUACAUCGUGGCAUGACAUCUGUUGUUCCCUUAUAAGCCAUUCUGUACACAGCUUUUGUCAGGCACAUGUGGCCUCGAAGACGAUAAAGUAAAACACAGUUUCAAAAAUAAGUGUACGAUCAUAUAUAAACAUCAAAAAUGGAAUGAUGAGAGAAAAGACUCAAGGGUAAGAUUAGAGACUGACACUGCUAAAGUAUACAUUAGUUUUAUUGUGAAUCUUCUUUUUGAGCUUUGAAACGUGUAUAGGUUUACAAUAAGAAUAACUCGCAACUAGUUAGAAACUCUUUUGAUAAUCAUAUUGUUGUUUUUUUUUUUGAUAAUAUCUUUAGACUCCCAAUACACAUGUCAAUAGCAGUUUUACAGUAACCAAAGGUCAAGUAAAAGGUUGCAACAAAGAAGUAAAGAUUACUCUCCCAGAAAGACUUCAGGUGAAAGAACUAAAAUUCAACCCUGGUCAGGAGAAGACCGAGAAUAAAUCUGAUGCGAGAACUGCAUCGGGCCAAUCGUUUACAGGCCAAGUGUUUUUACAAGUCCAAUUAAGAGGCAUUGUUUUAUUUCAAGAUAAAAGCACAAUACAUGAAAUUGAAAUGAUACAAAUAGUUGCUGAUUGGCUGAAACUGGACAAGAAACUCUCAUGUCCACUAUCUGUAUGUAAGAGUAAUCAAGGCCUUCCCGAAAAUGUAGAAUGGACAAUAGAGGGGCAUGUGAAGGUUUAUUAAAUGACUUUCACUGUUUUCUUUUUUUGUUUUGUUUUGUUCAAUCCCAAAAGAGAAUGUCCAAAUAAAUAUACAUGACUCUCAAUCGUUGUAAAAAAGCCAUCAUGUUUCUAUGUGAUAUUAUUUAUAAAAAGAGAGCUUUUAAAUAUGUUGUUUUAAAGUCUUAAUAUAUAUGUAUAUAAUUAUAUUUUUUUUUCUGUUGGCAUUUCUUUUUUUUUAAAUAGUAAUUAUACUUUAAUAUUAUUGUUGUUGUAAUCUGUUUUCAACACUAUUUUUUAAGUAUCAAAUAAUGUUAUGUAUAUUUUUUUAUAUUAUACAUUGACAAUGCAUCAACUAUUAAUAUUACACACAUUAAUUUUCAUUAAUGUAUUUGCACACAUGUAUUUAAACCCUCAUUCUGUGGGGUUUGAAGCUAAAAACACCUCUUCAAUAUGAAAAAAAAAGCAAAUUACACGCUCUAAAAUCUAUGAGCAUAGCCAAAUGGGUUUUUAGUUACAACCCACCGCCAGAGGGUUUGAAACUAAAAAAUACAUCUUCAAUUAAAAAAAAAAAGCAAAUUACGCACUCAAAAUGCUAUGAGCGUUGCCAAAAUGGGUUUUGAGUUUAAAUCCCGCUUCAGAGGGGUUUGAUGCUAAAAAAUACCUCUU
This is a long non-coding RNA of Biomphalaria glabrata, 8024 nucleotides long. RefSeq lists it as uncharacterized. The record is from RefSeq and is a predicted model, not a curated record. The transcript is spliced from 4 exons. Lineage: Eukaryota; Metazoa; Mollusca; Gastropoda; Planorbidae.